ACCGGCCGCCAGGGGUAUCCAGUGGGACAUGGAUUGAGACAAACCCUUGGAACCUGACCCGGUUGAAACCGGCGGAGGGAGCGCGGCGAUCCCCACGA
Molecule: non-coding RNA, 98 nt
Filed under: Acidobacteriota bacterium
Lineage: Bacteria; Pseudomonadati; Acidobacteriota
Description: Acidobacteria bacterium TPP sequence
Rfam family: TPP riboswitch aptamer (THI element)
About the family: Vitamin B(1) in its active form thiamin pyrophosphate (TPP) is an essential coenzyme that is synthesised by coupling of pyrimidine and thiazole moieties in bacteria.
Source: RNAcentral